Molecule: long non-coding RNA, 502 nt
Organism: Brassica oleracea var. oleracea
Lineage: Eukaryota; Viridiplantae; Streptophyta; Magnoliopsida; Brassicales; Brassicaceae
Exons: 3
Source: RefSeq, a predicted model, not a curated record
GUGUGAUCCCUUCCGACGAACGAGAGUUGUGGUUUCGUCAGUUUGCGCAAGAGUUCAACUGGCACUCCGAUCUCACGGAAACAGUCCGUAAGAAAUUCAACGAAAAGGCCAUGGACUCUUAUACGAAGCAGAUAAACGCGUGGAAGACAGUUUGGCAGAAGAACAAGAGGCCACGGUUCAUCAACGGGACGGUAUGGGAGUAGUUGAUAGCUCAUUGGGAGAAAGAAGAAACUACAGAGACGUCUUCUAGGAACUCCAAGAACCGGAAGAGCGAUCAUGGCGGGAAAGGUAUGUAUGUGCACAACCUCGGCGCUUGCUCUAUGUCUACUAAGGAGGAUGAACUUAUCGAAGCAAAUGACGGUAAUCCCGUUGAUCGUCUCCAACUCAUUAAGGUGGCUCACACUAACAAGACGACGGGUCAAAUUCAGGACCCCGUGAUCAAAGGUGUCGUUGAUUUGGUGGAAGCUGAAAUAGUAUCUCAAUCUCAGCCUCUCUCUGAUGA